This 301-nucleotide ribosomal RNA is filed under the name uncultured bacterium. RNAcentral's name for it is "partial 16S ribosomal RNA". It matches the Rfam family "Bacterial small subunit ribosomal RNA", at positions 509 to 809 of the family's 1533-position model. The record is from RNAcentral.
CAGUCGCCGCGGUAAGACAGAGGAUGCAAGCGUUAUCCGGAAUGAUUGGGCGUAAAGGGCUCGCAGGCGGUUUCUUAAGUCUGAUGUGAAAGCCCCCGGCUCAACCGGGGAGGGUCAUUGGAAACUGGGAAACUUGAGUGCAGAAGAGGAGAGUGGAAUUCCACGUGUAGCGGUGAAAUGCGUAGAGAUGUGGAGGAACACCAGUGGCGAAGGCGACUCUCUGGUCUGUAACUGACGCUGAGGAGCGAAAGCGUGGGGAGCGGACAGGAUUAGAUACCCCCGUAGUCCCUGUCUCUUAUAA